AGCAGCCGCGGUAAUUCCAGCUCCAAUAGCGUAUAUUAAAGUUGCUGCAGUUAAAAAGCUCGUAGUUGAAUUUCGGGACUAAUAUGUCGGUCGUGCCUCGGUACGUACUGGUAUUUUUGGUUUCUCCCUUCUGACGAACCUUGAUGUCAUUAAUUUGGUGUCUUGGGAAAUCAGGACUGUUACUUUGAAAAAAUUAGAGUGUUUAAAGCAGGCUCACGCUUGAAUACAUUAGCAUGGAAUAAUGAAAUAGGACGUUUGAUUCUAUUUUGUUGGUUCUAGGAUCGACGUAAUGAUUAAUAGGGAUAGUUGGGGGCAUUAGUAUUCAAUUGUCAGAGGUGAAAUUCUUGGAUUUAUUGAAGACUAACUACUGCGAAAGCAUUUUGCCAAGGAUGUUUUCAUUAAUCAAGAACGAAAGUUAGGGGAUCGAAGACGAUCAGAUACCGUCGUAGUCUUAACCAUAAACUAUGCCGGCUAGGGAUCGGAUGAUGUUAAUUUUUUCAAUGACUCAUUCGGCGCCUUA
Molecule: ribosomal RNA, 520 nt
Filed under: uncultured Glomus
Lineage: Eukaryota; Fungi; Glomeromycota; Glomeromycetes; Glomerales; Glomeraceae
Description: SSU rRNA
Rfam family: Eukaryotic small subunit ribosomal RNA
Source: RNAcentral